Anopheles stephensi (Asian malaria mosquito) is the source of this 2489-nucleotide RNA transcript. RefSeq lists it as uncharacterized. The record is from RefSeq and is a predicted model, not a curated record. NCBI's taxonomy places the organism in Eukaryota, Metazoa, Arthropoda, Insecta, Diptera, Culicidae. The transcript has 3 exons.
AUUAUAACUCAACGCUGUAAUGUUGGGAAUGUUGAUUGGAUUUACACGGCGAGGAAAACAGUUGACUAUAAAAGCAGGCGAGAGUAGGUUGGAAGUGCUCAGCAGUGCAUCAACAGCUCAGCCUCAGGAUGGGAACUCAUUCACUGCUUCUCUUCUGCGGAACUAUAGCUUGUUGCGCCAUAUCUUGCAUUAAGGCUGACAGUCUUACGCUGAUCUCCAAGCACUUCAGUAACAAUUCCUACACUUGCUUCGUACGCCACACGAAGGAAGGGCUUGAGUAUCAUCUAACCUACAACGUAUGCAUCCUAGAACCUACCGCCACCAACAAUUUCCAUCCCGAGGAGCUUACGACCCUUCAAUGCUUUUACUACGAUUGCAUCCUAACCUCCUCGCAGCUGAUGAAGGCAGAGGAUGGUCAGUUGCGAUGCUUUCGUUAUGCGUACCUGGCCCCCACCCCGCACCAAACACAACGCCCAAUGUUCGAAAUUCGCCGUUGGUCCCGGCACCAGCGUCCAGCACAUUCGCGCCCUAAGCGAGACUUUAGUUGGGUAACGUUUUUGGAAAAGAUCUCCUUCAUGGGCCGGCAUCAGAGUACCGUGAGCAAGCAGAAUGAAGCGUACUUUCAUUACAAUUUUAUGAACAAACCGGGUAGUGGAAGUGCACAGCCAUCACCUUCGCCACCAUCACCACCACAACCUGCAGCUCCAGCGCCUGUACCGCCGGCAUUAGCUCCACAAACAGUUGAGCCGUUGGCAGCUGAGACAUAGUGAAGGAACGGGGGGAAUAAAAGUAUUUUGGAGGGGAUUCGGAGAGCUCGUCUCUGUAGAGAUUUUACCGCGGAAAGAACUUGUCUACAUGAUCGUGCUUAAUGUUGACUAUAGAUCGCUAUGGUUUUGGUGCUAAAUUGUGAGCGCUAGCGACGAUCAAUACUAUAGGACACUUCAAAACAUCUUUUUCUGAGAAAUUUUGCUUUGGUGGAAUAGUUAGCGGCUUGUGAGCGGUUGAAAAAUUGCUAAAAAAAUGCGAUCUUCGAAAGCUCGGAAGGAAUAGAUCAAGUCAGCUUAUUACUAGAUAUGGAUGACAUGGAUUCUUCCAAGUAGCCUUCAGAUGUUGAACGGACAGCGAAGAAUCUGCUUGGAUCGUAAUUCUUAAAUCCUUAUCGUUAACUGGAAAUGGCGGACGAAAGGGAUCAUUUUAUUCUGGACUCAUUUUGUCUUUGGUACUUGAGAGAAUUGGAGAUAACUUCAGUGAAGACUUUAGGUUGGACCUGUCCUUAACUCAUAUAGCCAAGAGGUUACUGGAGAUCAUAAAACAAGCGAAGAGACAACAUGUAACGAAGGUCUCCAAUGUCCUCCUAUGUCGCCUAUUUGCUGAUAUUUCAAGUGAUCUUCGAAGGCAGCAUCUUCUCUAAUAUUUUCGUAGAUCAACUCAAGUUGUAGAAAAUCUAGUAAGUCCUUUAAGAAGCUCAACAGAUUUACUGCUGAAAGCCUCUAUUGAUGGUCCAUAAAACGUAAGGCGAGCAGAUCGAAUCUAUUAGAUCCUACAAACGCUAAUGAAUUCUACAUUUCUUGCUCAUGUAGCUAUCACUAACGCCAGUGUUCACGUUCUGAUGCUACACGCUUCCAAGCAAUUAUGCGCAGGCAUUUUCCGACCUGACCUUCCAAAUAAAUGGCACGUUAAAAAACGCAUUAGCCCCAAACUGUCAGCCGCCCGGCGAACAGGAACAUUUCUAAUCUAAAUUGGGAAGAACCCCCGAAUGAGUGUCGCGCGUUUCACACACCUGACACCUGUCACUCGGUGAACUGCUCCGUGGUUGAUAAGCACCGACUCCAACUCUACAGUACAACGUGCGACUCAUAAACUAACCGUCGGUCGGAAAACCGGUCUCGAUCGCAACCCACUGGCUUAUCAUUCUACCGGAACUUCGAGCUUGGAGUAUAAAGCCUGGUAGUCAGCGUGGAGACACAGUCUAUUACUGUAUUACCGCAAACGCAACUACGUGUGAGCAUGAAGUUCGUCAAUGUUGACUGGAGUUGGGUGUCGAUGGUGGUGGUGGUGAUGGUGCUGCUGAUGGGCGCAGUGAUCUCCGGCACACCGCUGCAGUGUGACGAUCCGGAAGGAAAUCCGGAGGCAACGUACGGAAAGCUACAAUCGAUUCCACCGCCCAGUGGCGGCAGUGAAUCGAUCGCAUUGGCAGAUGAACCAAUGCAGUCAGUGCCGGCCAAAACGCAACAGGACGUGCUAAAGUCCAGAAACUCCAAAUUUCUCGGCGUAGAUCGAAGCUCCGAAGAGUCGUAAGGAGAAGAGGUCGUGUUCGGGGGCCGUCGAUCGUCUUACCUCAAAUACGUGAUUUUUGAAGGAAGCGUGUAGCACAUCUUCACUGCGCAAUCGGGACGUGUGCCGCACUCCGGCCAGAUGACACAGGCAGCAAUUGUCAUCGAUGAUGAUUUGGGGUUUUCGUCUACAAUAAAAAAAACAUACAAAAGAAA